Molecule: ribosomal RNA, 298 nt
Filed under: uncultured gamma proteobacterium MB10g-MO4
Lineage: Bacteria; Pseudomonadati; Pseudomonadota; Gammaproteobacteria
Description: partial 16S ribosomal RNA
Rfam family: Bacterial small subunit ribosomal RNA
Source: RNAcentral
UCGCGCUAACAGAUGAGCCUGCGUUGGAUUAGCUAGUUGGUAGGGUAAAGGCCUACCAAGGCGACGAUCCAUAGCUGGUCUGAGAGGACGAUCAGCCACACUGGGACUGAGACACGGCCCAGACUCCUACGGGAGGCAGCAGUGGGGAAUAUUGGACAAUGGGCGCAAGCCUGAUCCAGCAAUACCGCGUGUGUGAAGAAGGCCUGAGGGUUGUAAAGCACUUUUAAUCGGGAGGAACACCUAUCCGCUAAUACCGGGUAGUUUGACAUUACCGAUAGAAAAAGCACCGGCUAACUCC